AGAGUUUGAUCCUGGCUCAGAACGAACGCUGGCGGCAGGCCUAACACAUGCAAGUCGAGCGAACCUUCGGGUUAGCGGCGGACGGGUGAGUAACGCGUGGGAACGUACCCUCUUCUGCGGGAUAGCCACUGGAAACGGUGAGUAAUACCGCAUACGCCCUUCGGGGGAAAGAUUUAUCGGAGGAGGAUCGGCCCGCGUUGGAUUAGGUAGUUGGUGGGGUAAUGGCCUACCAAGCCUACGAUCCAUAGCUGGUUUUAGAGGAUGAUCAGCCACACUGGGACUGAGACACGGCCCAGACUCCUACGGGAGGCAGCAGUGGGGAAUCUUAGACAAUGGGCGCAAGCCUGAUCUAGCCAUGCCGCGUGAGUGACGAAGGCCUUAGGGUCGUAAAGCUCUUUCGCCAGAGAUGAUAAUGACAGUAUCUGGUAAAGAAACCCCGGCUAACUCCGUGCCAGCAGCCGCGGUAAUACGGAGGGGGUUAGCGUUGUUCGGAAUUACUGGGCGUAAAGCGCACGUAGGCGGAUUGGAAAGUUGGGGGUGAAAUCCCAGGGCUCAACCCUGGAACGGCCUCCAAAACUCCCAGUCUGGAGUUCGAGAGAGGUGAGUGGAAUUCCGAGUGUAGAGGUGAAAUUCGUAGAUAUUCGGAGGAACACCAGUGGCGAAGGCGGCUCACUGGCUCGAUACUGACGCUGAGGUGCGAAAGUGUGGGGAGCAAACAGGAUUAGAUACCCUGGUAGUCCACACCGUAAACGAUGAAUGCCAGUCGUCGGCAAGCAUGCUUGUCGGUGACACACCUAACGGAUUAAGCAUUCCGCCUGGGGAGUACGGUCGCAAGAUUAAAACUCAAGGAA
This 851-nucleotide ribosomal RNA is filed under the name uncultured bacterium. Its description in RNAcentral is "bacterial SSU rRNA". It matches the Rfam family "Bacterial small subunit ribosomal RNA", at positions 8 to 908 of the family's 1533-position model. The record is from RNAcentral.